RNAcentral lists this long non-coding RNA (449 nucleotides) under Triticum aestivum (bread wheat). RNAcentral describes it as "long non-coding RNA (TAES_LNC028109)". Lineage: Eukaryota; Viridiplantae; Streptophyta; Magnoliopsida; Poales; Poaceae. The record is from RNAcentral.
UCUAAACAGAUGCAGUAACUAUGAUGUUGGUAUGAGACUGUCCUACAGGUCAGGUUUCGAACUGUUGACAAUAGAUGUGCAGAUCGAUAGAUUGUGUUAAAAUCAUUAACUUGCUUGGCCUGAUUGUGUAAGGGAUUAACUUGCUUUAAUGGCGUGCAGCUUCAGGGGCAGAUGGAAAUGUACAGCUUAUGACAUAAUCGCAGAAAGUCGGGCAACCCAUUCGCUUACUUGAUAAACCCUCCCCUGGUUCAGGCCACUAAGGUGUCCAUUUCCUCAUCUCCUCCUCAUGACGUGGCAUUCUUAUUUAUUCCAUAUCCUUAAUUUUACACUAACUGGUCCAAUGAAUCUUUGUUAGUUAAGUGUGCCAAUAUAUGUCUAUUUUUUCCGGUCUUAACGACAUGACAAAUGACACAUGAUUAGGGAGCUGAGUUGUGACCAAAGAUUAAAUC